RNAcentral lists this ribosomal RNA (420 nucleotides) under Triticum aestivum (bread wheat). RNAcentral describes it as "partial small subunit ribosomal RNA". The record is from RNAcentral. Lineage: Eukaryota; Viridiplantae; Streptophyta; Magnoliopsida; Poales; Poaceae.
AUGCUAAAUGACCCGCCGCCUCAAGAUCAUGACUUUGUUCUAGAGCAGGCAGAGGUUGACACCACCGGGCACACCGACCAGCCAACAAGCCCUAUCUGGACUGACAAACCGGUCAGUCCGGUGAAAUAUACUGACAAAACAAAAACUCCAGUACGAGCUGCUGAGGAGAAGGAUGAUGAUGUUCUGAUUACUGGCAUUGGCCAUACUGAUCCAGGAAAUCAUGUCGCUUUGUCAAAACAUACCGCCAAAGAGGAAUUUUCUGCAAUUGGUACAGGCAAAUGGAAUGCCGAUCUGUCCGCUUACGCCCAUCUGAGUGCUCAAGACCUUCAUUCCAGCUAUCUGAACCGUCUAUACACCAGUCGUGACUAUGAAGCCGGCUUGGUAAAUAUGAUGAAGGAACGAUAUGAGAUAAUUUCAUAA